GACGAACGCUGGCGGCGUGCCUAAUACAUGCAAGUCGAGCGGACGGAUGGGAGCUUGCUCCCAGACCGUCAGCGGCGGACGGGUGAGUAACACGUGGGCAACCUGCCUGUAAGACUGGGAUAACUCCGGGAAACCGGGGCUAAUACCGGAUAACUCUUUCCCUCACAUGAGGGGAAGCUGAAAGAUGGCAUCUCGCUAUCACUUACAGAUGGGCCCGCGGCGCAUUAGCUAGUUGGUGAGGUAACGGCUCACCAAGGCGACGAUGCGUAGCCGACCUGAGAGGGUGAUCGGCCACACUGGGACUGAGACACGGCCCAGACUCCUACGGGAGGCAGCAGUAGGGAAUCUUCCGCAAUGGACGAAAGUCUGACGGAGCAACGCCGCGUGAGUGAUGAAGGUUUUCGGAUCGUAAAACUCUGUUGUCAGGGAAGAACAAGUACCGGAGUAACUGCCGGUACCUUGACGGUACCUGACCAGAAAGCCACGGCUAACUACGUG
Molecule: ribosomal RNA, 498 nt
Filed under: uncultured bacterium
Lineage: Bacteria
Description: partial 16S ribosomal RNA
Rfam family: Bacterial small subunit ribosomal RNA
Source: RNAcentral